CGGUAUUUAUGUUUAUUUAUAUAGAUAUGCAAAUUCGGUUUGAAGCGAGGUGAGAGAGGGAGCAGGAGCGUGGUGCUUGAUGUGCAUGUGAUAAACCGGAGCACAAAAGCCGCUUAGGACCAGCCCGCGGAGAUUAGCUAACAAGAAGCGAGCCAUUCUUUUCAGGAGGCAUUAUUAGCAUAUUUUUCAUCAAUACUAUACUUAACAGCUACUACAUAGCAGGAAGUGGUAUUUAACCUCUUGUUCCAACGUAACGAGAUUACUUUGGGUGGUUAUGUUCCAUUCCAUUCAUAAAGAGCCUCCUGUGCCCAGUUAAUUAGAUUCACUGGUCCAGCAUGAACUGGGAGCCAAUGUGCCAAAAUGGAUUCGGAAUAUUGACAUUUUAAGCUGGGCUUGUCUUUAAGGCUGUGAUGGAAAACUCGCUGCUGACAGACAAGGGGGGUCAUUAGAAAAUUGUUCCAGCUCCUGAUGGACGUGGGUUAACUGAAAUAACCAUUGCUGAAAUGGCCAAAGUUUAAAGGAAAGCUCAUUCUGGAAGUUAAAGUUCUUUGAAACAGAUGAGCACCACCUGACUUUUGAGGCACAGCCAGGUGAAACCACCUUUGCCUUUAUUUGGAUGUGAAACACUGAGCCACAGGGGACUCUGCUGCCACAAAACUUCUGGUUUUCACUGAACUCUGAAUUGGAAAACGACAGAAGUCAAGUUUGGAAAAAAGUAUAAAGCAAGAGACAUCACAUACUGACUCAUGACUUAUAGUCAAACCCCAUGGAAUUAUUCCUGCAAAGCAGAACAUGGAGCACCUGGGCUGGAUUCUGUGUUCCCAACAGCUCCUGGUGGAUUUUCCUUGGCUCCAGCAGAUCCAUCACCCCUUUCUCCUGGAGUGUGCUCAGCGUUCAUCCAGCACUCCCUGUCUCAGCUGGGGGAUUGGGGACACCCCAGGAGCAGAUUUAUGGGGCUGCAGCCUCGCUGAGGGCACUGCAGGGACAGCCAGGCUGCCCCAUGGCAGGAGGUUUCAUCCCACUCCACCUUCCCAAAGGGAUCAAGCAGGCAAGUGGCUUCUCCCCUUUUUAAACUUUAUUACUCUACAAAAGUUGACUAAGAAGG
This 1105-nucleotide long non-coding RNA is filed under the name Parus major (Great Tit). RNAcentral's name for it is "lncRNA (ENSPMJG00000009133.1)". The record is from RNAcentral. Lineage: Eukaryota; Metazoa; Chordata; Aves; Passeriformes; Paridae.